UGGGGAAUAUUGCACAAUGGGCGCAAGCCUGAUGCAGCCAUGCCGCGUGUAUGAAGAAGGCCUUCGGGUUGUAAAGUACUUUCAGCGGGGAGGAAGGGAGUAAAGUUAAUACCUUUGCUCAUUGACGUUACCCGCAGAAGAAGCACCGGCUAACUCCGUGCCAGCAGCCGCGGUAAUACGGAGGGUGCAAGCGUUAAUCGGAAUUACUGGGCGUAAAGCGCACGCAGGCGGUUUGUUAAGUCAGAUGUGAAAUCCUCGGGCUCAACCUGGGAACUGCAUCUGAUACUGGCAAGCUUGAGUCUCGUAGAGGGGGGUAGAAUUCCAGGUGUAGCGGUGAAAUGCGUAGAGAUGUGGAGGAAUACCGGUGGCGAAGGCGGCCCCCUGGACGAAGACUGACGCUCAGGUGCGAAAGCGUGGGGAGCAAACAGG
Molecule: ribosomal RNA, 429 nt
Filed under: Chloroflexota bacterium
Lineage: Bacteria; Bacillati; Chloroflexota
Description: Chloroflexi bacterium partial 16S ribosomal RNA
Rfam family: Bacterial small subunit ribosomal RNA
Source: RNAcentral